GGUUAAGCGACUAAGCGUACACGGUGGAUGCCCUGGCAGUCAGAGGCGAUGAAGGACGUGCUAAUCUGCGAUAAGCGUCGGUAAGGUGAUAUGAACCGUUAUAACCGGCGAUUUCCGAAUGGGGAAACCCAGUGUGAUUCGUCACACUAUCAUUAACUGAAUCCAUAGGUUAAUGAGGCGAACCGGGGGAACUGAAACAUCUAAGUACCCCGAGGAAAAGAAAUCAACCGAGAUUCCCCCAGUAGCGGCGAGCGAACGGGGAGCAGCCCAGAGCCUGAAUCAGUGUGUGUGUUAGUGGAAGCGUCUGGAAAGGCGCGCGAUACAGGGUGACAGCCCCGUACACAAAAAUGCACAUGCUGUGAGCUCGAUGAGUAGGGCGGGACACGUGGUAUCCUGUCUGAAUAUGGGGGGACCAUCCUCCAAGGCUAAAUACUCCUGACUGACCGAUAGUGAACCAGUACCGUGAGGGAAAGGCGAAAAGAACCCCGGCGAGGGGAGUGAAAAAGAACCUGAAACCGUGUACGUACAAGCAGUGGGAGCACGCUUAGGCGUGUGACUGCGUACCUUUUGUAUAAUGGGUCAGCGACUUAUAUUCUGUAGCAAGGUUAACCGAAUAGGGGAGCCGAAGGGAAACCGAGUCUUAACUGGGCGUUAAGUUGCAGGGUAUAGACCCGAAACCCGGUGAUCUAGCCAUGGGCAGGUUGAAGGUUGGGUAACACUAACUGGAGGACCGAACCGACUAAUGUUGAAAAAUUAGCGGAUGACUUGUGGCUGGGGGUGAAAGGCCAAUCAAACCGGGAGAUAGCUGGUUCUCCCCGAAAGCUAUUUAGGUAGCGCCUCGUGAAUUCAUCUCCGGGGGUAGAGCACUGUUUCGGCAAGGGGGUCAUCCCGACUUACCAACCCGAUGCAAACUGCGAAUACCGGAGAAUGUUAUCACGGGAGACACACGGCGGGUGCUAACGUCCGUCGUGAAGAGGGAAACAACCCAGACCGCCAGCUAAGGUCCCAAAGUCAUGGUUAAGUGGGAAACGAUGUGGGAAGGCCCAGACAGCCAGGAUGUUGGCUUAGAAGCAGCCAUCAUUUAAAGAAAGCGUAAUAGCUCACUGGUCGAGUCGGCCUGCGCGGAAGAUGUAACGGGGCUAAACCAUGCACCGAAGCUGCGGCAGCGACGCUGAUGCGUUGUUGGGUAGGGGAGCGUUCUGUAAGCCUGUGAAGGUGUGCUGUGAGGCAUGCUGGAGGUAUCAGAAGUGCGAAUGCUGACAUAAGUAACGAUAAAGCGGGUGAAAAGCCCGCUCGCCGGAAGACCAAGGGUUCCUGUCCAACGUUAAUCGGGGCAGGGUGAGUCGACCCCUAAGGCGAGGCCGAAAGGCGUAGUCGAUGGGAAACAGGUUAAUAUUCCUGUACUUGGUGUUACUGCGAAGGGGGGACGGAGAAGGCUAUGUUGGCCGGGCGACGGUUGUCCCGGUUUAAGCGUGUAGGCUGGUUUUCCAGGCAAAUCCGGAAAAUCAAGGCUGAGGCGUGAUGACGAGGCACUACGGUGCUGAAGCAACAAAUGCCCUGCUUCCAGGAAAAGCCUCUAAGCAUCAGGUAACAUCAAAUCGUACCCCAAACCGACACAGGUGGUCAGGUAGAGAAUACCAAGGCGCUUGAGAGAACUCGGGUGAAGGAACUAGGCAAAAUGGUGCCGUAACUUCGGGAGAAGGCACGCUGAUAUGUAGGUGAAGUCCCUCGCGGAUGGAGCUGAAAUCAGUCGAAGAUACCAGCUGGCUGCAACUGUUUAUUAAAAACACAGCACUGUGCAAACACGAAAGUGGACGUAUACGGUGUGACGCCUGCCCGGUGCCGGAAGGUUAAUUGAUGGGGUUAGCGCAAGCGAAGCUCUUGAUCGAAGCCCCGGUAAACGGCGGCCGUAACUAUAACGGUCCUAAGGUAGCGAAAUUCCUUGUCGGGUAAGUUCCGACCUGCACGAAUGGCGUAAUGAUGGCCAGGCUGUCUCCACCCGAGACUCAGUGAAAUUGAACUCGCUGUGAAGAUGCAGUGUACCCGCGGCAAGACGGAAAGACCCCGUGAACCUUUACUAUAGCUUGACACUGAACAUUGAGCCUUGAUGUGUAGGAUAGGUGGGAGGCUUUGAAGUGUGGACGCCAGUCUGCAUGGAGCCGACCUUGAAAUACCACCCUUUAAUGUUUGAUGUUCUAACGUUGACCCGUAAUCCGGGUUGCGGACAGUGUCUGGUGGGUAGUUUGACUGGGGCGGUCUCCUCCUAAAGAGUAACGGAGGAGCACGAAGGUUGGCUAAUCCUGGUCGGACAUCAGGAGGUUAGUGCAAUGGCAUAAGCCAGCUUGACUGCGAGCGUGACGGCGCGAGCAGGUGCGAAAGCAGGUCAUAGUGAUCCGGUGGUUCUGAAUGGAAGGGCCAUCGCUCAACGGAUAAAAGGUACUCCGGGGAUAACAGGCUGAUACCGCCCAAGAGUUCAUAUCGACGGCGGUGUUUGGCACCUCGAUGUCGGCUCAUCACAUCCUGGGGCUGAAGUAGGUCCCAAGGGUAUGGCUGUUCGCCAUUUAAAGUGGUACGCGAGCUGGGUUUAGAACGUCGUGAGACAGUUCGGUCCCUAUCUGCCGUGGGCGCUGGAGAACUGAGGGGGGCUGCUCCUAGUACGAGAGGACCGGAGUGGACGCAUCACUGGUGUUCGGGUUGUCAUGCCAAUGGCACUGCCCGGUAGCUAAAUGCGGAAGAGAUAAGUGCUGAAAGCAUCUAAGCACGAAACUUGCCCCGAGAUGAGUUCUCCCUGACUCCUUGAGAGUCCUGAAGGAACGUUGAAGACGACGACGUUGAUAGGCCGGGUGUGUAAGCGCAGCGAUGCGUUGAGCUAACCGGUACUAAUGAACCGUGAGGCUUAACCUU
RNAcentral lists this ribosomal RNA (2904 nucleotides) under Escherichia coli. Its description in RNAcentral is "23S ribosomal RNA". It matches the Rfam family "Bacterial large subunit ribosomal RNA". RNAcentral also lists the same sequence under 1 other name. The record is from RNAcentral. Lineage: Bacteria; Pseudomonadati; Pseudomonadota; Gammaproteobacteria; Enterobacterales; Enterobacteriaceae.